AGUAACGCGUGAGGAACCUGCCUCAAAGAGGGGGACAACAGUUGGAAACGACUGCUAAUACCGCAUAAGCCCACAGCUCGGCAUCGGGCAGAGGGAAAAGGAGUGAUCCGCUUUGAGAUGGCCUCGCGUCCGAUUAGCUAGUUGGUGAGGUAAUGGCCCACCAAGGCGACGAUCGGUAGCCGGACUGAGAGGUUGAACGGCCACAUUGGGACUGAGACACGGCCCAG
Molecule: ribosomal RNA, 227 nt
Filed under: uncultured bacterium
Lineage: Bacteria
Description: partial 16S ribosomal RNA
Rfam family: Bacterial small subunit ribosomal RNA
Source: RNAcentral